CUGAAGCAGGUGAAGAGGCAGUCAGCCCAGCUCACUUUUUCCUUCUGUGCAGUGUCAUCAUAAAACUCUACACUGAUUUUCAUCUGUUGUGACCACACAGUUAAGAAAGGCUCUUCAGCCCUCGCCAAACCCAUCACCUAACACUCGAGGAAUAGAGGCUUCCAAGCAUUUUGGACACCUGCCCCAUUUCUGAAGGCCCCAUUUUCAGGGGGCAGUGCAGAUGCCUAACUAUGAGCAAGGAGGAAUACAUCUGGGAGUACGUAUGUGCCAAGGCUCUGGCAGGGAGAUGAAGCCUACAUUUGCCACGUCUGGUUUCCAAAAUAAAAUGACUUAGUCCUGUCAUGGCGUAUGUGAAAAAUUUUUAAGACAGCUGACUAAAAGGCAUGUGAAAUGUGAAUUUCCCAAUUGCUUGUAGUCACUAAAAAGCAAUCUGGACUGUGCAGAUGUGCUACAAUGCAAUACCUCUUAAUAGGAGAUAUUUAUUUCUAAAGUCUGUGUGCAAAGUGACACAGCAGUGGCCAGUGGAAAUGAGUCGGCAGAUGAAAAAGUCUCUGGGAGUCCACCUGCCCAACAGCCUCCUGGAAUGUUUACUGUGCAGAUGA
This 602-nucleotide long non-coding RNA is filed under the name Phasianus colchicus (ring-necked pheasant). RNAcentral's name for it is "lncRNA (ENSPCLG00000012803.1)". The record is from RNAcentral. Lineage: Eukaryota; Metazoa; Chordata; Aves; Galliformes; Phasianidae.